RNAcentral lists this long non-coding RNA (1029 nucleotides) under Callithrix jacchus (white-tufted-ear marmoset). RNAcentral describes it as "lncRNA (ENSCJAG00000071903.1)". Lineage: Eukaryota; Metazoa; Chordata; Mammalia; Primates; Cebidae. The record is from RNAcentral.
GGCGCGGAUCCGGGGCCAAACCCUCCAGGGCUGCGCUGCAGACAGCGACGGCCAGAGGCGGAUACAGUCGGGUUUAGGGACCGCAGGAGCGAAUUCCCGGAGGCCUGCAGGAGCCGCCCCGCGCCGCGUCCAGCCUUUCUCUCUGGGCCUAGCGGGUCUCCCCCAGGCGCGCCCCUCCCUCCCCACAGGCGCACUUUCUCCACCUGCAUCUGGGGCGAGGCGCGGCUGGGAGCGAAGCACAAGUGGGCUGGGCGAGGUUUGGGGUUCGAGGAUUGCAGAGUGACCGCGGGGUCUGGGGAAGAGUUGUCUUGGUGGCGCCACCAGAGCCCGACCCGCCGCGGCCGGGACCCUGCAGGGCAGGUAGCGACCUGCGGAGAAGCCGCCUGGCGCGGCCGACUCGGCUGCCGGGGCGUGGGCCUGGGCCGGGCGCAGGAGCAGCGGGGAUGCUGGGUGCGCUCCGAGGGUGCGGCCUCCCGGCUGUGCGGGGCUCAGAGCCGGGUGCUGGGCGCGGGGCCUGGCAAAGAAAUCGUUCGACACAGCCGGAAUCCCAGGAAAAUCUACCUUUCUGGAGACUGCAGCUCCUGUGAUAGCUCAACAGACUUCAGUUCCUCACAAAUAUUGCUCUCUACGGUUUCCCCCAAAACACUUCAGGAAAUACAGUGUCCUGUCUUCACAAAUGCUUCUGCACUGAAGAAGCAGGACCUCAGGAAGAAGCUCCAUAAGCUGCCAGAAUACAAGUGGAGGCUCCUGGAGAGGACAGUGAAGCCAACACUCCUCUUGGCAGAAUGGGGUCCAGGGGUCGAUGAUUUCGGCUUCUUUCUGCCUACCAAAUCACUCAAAGCAGGCUUCAGUGGGCUCAAUUUCUUCCCAGAACCUGAAAUGCCUCACCAAGGAGUCGGUUUUCACUGCCAACCACGGAGAUCGCUCCGGCAAAGCAACCAUGUCGAAACAAUCCAUUUGCUGCGUUUUGAUUAUUUACAAAGAACAAGCACCUUUUCUGUUUGGGUUUCGCUUUUAGAAAAAAAUUAA